GACGAACGCUGGCGGCGUGCUUAACACAUGCAAGUCGAACGCUGAAGCUCAGCUUUUGUUGGGUGGAUGAGCGGCGAACGGGUGAGUAACACGUGAGUAACCUGCCCUCUUCUUUGGGAUAACGCCCGGAAACGGGUGCUAAUACUGGAUAUUCACUGAUCUUCGCAUGGGGGUUGGUGGAAAGGUUUGUUCCGGUGGGGGAUGGGCUCGCGGCCUAUCAGCUUGUUGGUGGGGUGAUGGCCUACCAAGGCUUUGACGGGUAGCCGGCCUGAGAGGGUGACCGGUCACAUUGGGACUGAGAUACGGCCCAGACUCCUACGGGAGGCAGCAGUGGGGAAUAUUGCACAAUGGGCGAAAGCCUGAUGCAGCGACGCCGCGUGAGGGAUGGAGGCCUUCGGGUUGUAAACCUCUUUCGCUCAUGGUCAAGCCGCGACGUGGGUUGUGGUGAGGGUAGUGGGUAAAGAAGCGCCGGCUAACUACGUG
RNAcentral lists this ribosomal RNA (483 nucleotides) under uncultured bacterium. Its description in RNAcentral is "partial 16S ribosomal RNA". It matches the Rfam family "Bacterial small subunit ribosomal RNA", at positions 28 to 507 of the family's 1533-position model. The record is from RNAcentral.